GAUGAACGCUGGCGGCGUGCUUAACACAUGCAAGUCGAACGGAAAGGCUCCUGCUUGCAGGGGUACUCGAGUGGCGAACGGGUGAGUAACACGUGGGUGAUCUGCCCUGCACUUCGGGAUAAGCCUGGGAAACUGGGUCUAAUACCGGAUAGGACGAUGGUUUGGAUGCCAUUGUGGAAAGUUUUUUCGGUGUGGGAUGGGCACGCGGCCUAUCAGCUUGUUUGUGGGGUAAUGGCAUACCAAGGCGUCGACGGGUAGCCGGCCUGAGAGGGUGUACGGCCACAUUGGGACUGAGAUACGGCCCAGACUCCUACGGGAGGCAGCAGUGGGGAAUAUUGCACAAUGGGCGGAAGCCUGAUGCAGCGACGCCGCGUGGGGGAUGACGGCCUUCGGGUUGUAAACUCCUUUCGCUAGGGACGAAGCGCAAGUGACGGUACCUGGAGAAGAAGCACCGGCUAACUACGUG
This 466-nucleotide ribosomal RNA is filed under the name uncultured bacterium. RNAcentral's name for it is "partial 16S ribosomal RNA". It matches the Rfam family "Bacterial small subunit ribosomal RNA", at positions 28 to 507 of the family's 1533-position model. The record is from RNAcentral.